Molecule: long non-coding RNA, 495 nt
Organism: Oreochromis aureus
Lineage: Eukaryota; Metazoa; Chordata; Actinopteri; Cichliformes; Cichlidae
Exons: 3
Source: RefSeq, a predicted model, not a curated record
AAGCGCGCUGUCCAGCGGGUUUCCACGCUGUCCGGACAACAUCAUCAUCCUCAUCCUCAUCCUUGCUUCCCAGGACACAGCGGGCAUCCACCUCAUGGUGUCACGAUUGAACCUUUGCAGCUGCAUGGAGCUCCAGCUUGAGCUCAUCUUUGCCCCCGGCCAUGUAGAGGUGUCCCAGGUACACAGCACAACCAGCGCUCUCUCUGGGACUCAGCAUGUGGGAGCAUAUCGACCAGGUAUCUGUCCAUUGCCACCAGACACACUGCACUCUGAGGGUUGUUCAAGGGUGCUACAUCUGUACUCCAGCUGUCUGUGUCUGGAUUGUACCUGCCAGGAUGGAAAUCAAAGAGUGGGAUGUCAAAGUGUUGGAGGAAGAUAAUAUCAGCUGCUGGCAAUAACAUUUUGAGAAGACAAAUCACAGAGAGAUGCUUUCAUAGAAACUCGGCUUUUUAAAGUAUUUGCAAUCUUUGUGCUUUGUGCUACUUUUAAAGUUUU